CAUAGCCGCGGGAAAACGGAGGGGGCUAGCGUUGUUCGGAAUUACUGGGCGUAAAGCGCACGUAGGCGGCUUUGUAAGUUAGAGGUGAAAGCCCGGAGCUCAACUCCGGAAUUGCCUUUAAGACUGCAGAGCUAGCAGGUGAGAGAGGUGAGUGGAAUUCCGAGUGUAGAGGUGAAAUUCGUAGAUAUUCGGAAGAACACCAGUGGCGAAGGCGGCUCACUGGCUCAUACUGGACGCUGAGGUGCGAAAGCGUGGGGAGCAAACAGGAUUAGAUACCCCCGUAGUCCCUGUCUCUUAUACA
RNAcentral lists this ribosomal RNA (301 nucleotides) under uncultured bacterium. RNAcentral describes it as "partial 16S ribosomal RNA". It matches the Rfam family "Bacterial small subunit ribosomal RNA", at positions 512 to 808 of the family's 1533-position model. The record is from RNAcentral.